GGCGGCGUGCCUAACACAUGCAAGUCGAACGAGAAAGUUGGCUUCGGCCGAUGAGUAAAGUGGCGCACGGGUGAGUAACGCGUGGAUAAUCUGCCCUUUAGUUUGGAAUAACGUACCGAAAGGUGCGCUAAUACCGGAUAAUACUGAAUGACUACUGUCGUUUAGUCAAAGAAGGCUUCUGUUUACAUGCUUUUGCUGAAGGAUGAGUCCGCGUACCAUUAGCUAGUUGGUAGGGUAAUGGCCUACCAAGGCGACGAUGGUUAGCUGGUCUGAGAGGAUGAUCAGCCACACUGGAACUGAGACACGGUCCAGACUCCUACGGGAGGCAGCAGUGAGGAAUAUUGCGCAAUGGGGGCAACCCUGACGCAGCAACGCCGCGUGAGUGAGGAAGGUUUUCGGACCGUAAAAGCUCUGUCGAGCGGGAAGAAAUGCAUGGUGGCUAAUAUCCAUCAUGCUUGACGGUACCGCUAAAGGAAGCACCGGCUAACUCCGUG
This 494-nucleotide ribosomal RNA is filed under the name uncultured bacterium. Its description in RNAcentral is "bacterial SSU rRNA". It matches the Rfam family "Bacterial small subunit ribosomal RNA", at positions 38 to 507 of the family's 1533-position model. The record is from RNAcentral.